GCCGCUGCCCGGGUGCGCGCGGGUCCUGUGUGUGACAGUCAGGCAGAGGGGGAUAAUCCGGAUCAUGGCCUCCCCGGCCCGCAGCCACGGUGGCUCUCCCGGGCCCCGGUGCUCCCCUAGCACCCGGAUGAUCGCGGGCGACUGACUCCCGCGGUUCCCGCGGCUCAAGCUAGGGAAAGACGCAAAGCAAAAGAAAACAAGCCCGGGAAGAGGGAGGGCAGGGUGACUGAGCCCGGCGGGCACCUCAGACCUCCUUCUUCGGGACCGCCUCCCUCGCUCCCAGCCGUGCGGCCCGGGCCUGACACCCCGAACUUCAACACCCGGUCCCGCGCGGCCGCCAGCAACCGGGUGAUGUAUGAAGGAUUGGUACGAUUACCAUCUUGCAUACGACGAGAUUAAAGCCCUUCGAAAUCUAGUAGGAACCCUGGAUACAGAGAUCCGACAAUACUGAGGGUCUGCUCUGAAUGAAUCAGACCCCAUCACAAAAGCACAGCACUUGGAUAAAAAUGAGGAAUUGGGAGUGAGUAGAGAUGAUAUUUCGAGAUUGUCAAGUUUAGCAAAAUGUGUAAAAGUAAACAAGCAGUACCAAGACCUGAAGGUGAGUUGCAUAUUUAAAAUUCUUCCUUUUUAAUAAUCUAAGCUGUUAUUAGCAGUGGAUAAGAAAACACUAAUUUUAAAAAACUGUAUACGAUUUUUUUUACCCUGAUGCAUUUUUUACCUCUAAUGCAAUGUACAUAGUAUAAAUAAGUAAUGUAAUCAAGUUUAUCUCUGGAAGAAAAAGUUAAUAGUCUUACUGGAGAGUUGGAAAUAAAUGGUGCUCUUAUUGCAUUUAUUUCCAAUCACACACAUCAAACCUCCUCAAACUGGAACGAUGUAUCAACCGAACAUUUUGAAUUCCUCUGUGACCCUUCUUACUCUCCCAGCUGCCUUAGACCCCGAGAAGCAACUGGAAAGAGGAGCUGCACGGGACGGGUUCGAGAGCGGUCAGGAUUCUUUGGAGAAUGUGAUUAUGAAGACCGAGAAGUUUCAACAUCCACAGUCAGCAAGGUGGAGACUCAGGAGAGCUGAUGGGAGAGUUCCAGUCCAAGUCCAAGAGCUCUGAGAACCAGGAGAGCCAACGGUGAUCCCAGACAAGAUGCUGGUGCCCUGGCAGCCAGCUUGAGGAUGGAAACUACGUGCUAAGAAUGAUAAAGCAGACAGAGAAGAAGUCUUGAGUCCUGAUGUCUUUGUAGUGCUGUUCCACCAGCCCUGGACUGCUGAGUUCUGGCUGCCUUUUACAUGAAAGAACAGGACUUUGUGGUUUCAAAUCUCUUUUAUUUUGGUUUUCUAUUUUAUGCAGAACAUAAUCCUAGCUGAAACAGAUACAAAUUAACACUUACAAAAGAAUGGGAAGGGAAGUACUGUCUGAAAUAAAGGCAAAUAUUCUUUCAGUUAAAAAAAAGGGCAUUUUUCCUAAUAUCCAAGGCAUA
Hippopotamus amphibius kiboko is the source of this 1469-nucleotide long non-coding RNA. RefSeq lists it as uncharacterized. NCBI's taxonomy places the organism in Eukaryota, Metazoa, Chordata, Mammalia, Artiodactyla, Hippopotamidae. The record is from RefSeq and is a predicted model, not a curated record. The transcript has 6 exons.